CUGAAGGUGUUGAAUGCAAGCAACAUGUAAGUCACAUUUAUUGUAGUCUUUUGCUUGAUUAUGGAUUGCAAUUUGGAAAUUACGUCAAGAAUAGCAUGUCACGUUUAGCUUCACAACGAGGAUGAACUGAGCGACAAUACGACAAAUGAAUAAUACCACAAAUUUCAGUCCAUAAGCUACUUGUUGCAAUCUGUUUUGUUGCACUUGCUGUAGCUUAUUCAAAGACAGCAAUGGAAUUGUAGGUAGAAGUGGCAAAAGUAUGUAGACCUCAAAUUUCUGUAUAUUGGCAUGGGAGAGAUAUACAGACACUUCAACAAUGAUUCAUAGAUGAAUAUGAAAUAAGUUCACAUCUGCCAAAAAAACGUGAUGAGUUCACCUAAUGAGUUCAUAGAUAAAACUAAAUGAGUUCACAACGCAGAAUGUAGAUGAGCUCACCGCUGAUAUAAGCUCACGGCUCAGAGAAAUUGAAGGAAUUGAGUUCAAAUACAAGAAAACUACUUGAUGAAAUAAGUCUGAAACUCCGUGUUUGGAAGUUGAUUUAUGUUUAAUAAUAUAAAUGUGUGCAUCAUUUGAUGCAGAGGCCCGGGUAAUCCCCUUUUUGAAAUAAAAUAUGUGUAACAUCAAUUUCAUAGGGAUCAAUCAUCCAAUUUGUAGCUUUCUCUUUGGUAUAAGCUUCUUUGUUGGAUAUGUGGCGUUGGAAUGAGACUAAUGUUACAGCCCAAUAAGCGGUAUGUGAUAGCAUGCCUUCUCUGUGUCGACGGGCCAUAUUAAACUCAUCUUUGUCCGGCAGGACAGUGGAGUGAUUUGGAGACGUACUAAACAUUUCUCUCCUCGGAGAAGAAAUUCCCAACUCCACAAACAGUUGAUGUUCUUCCAGGUCGCUACAGUGAUGGAGUCAAUUCAUUGGUACAACACCGGCAUGAGCACAAAGGCAACUCGCCGGCGGUCAUAUGUCCAUGGAAAAAAAAUACUAAUUACUUCAUAUUUCUUGUUGUAAUUUCAGUGAUGACUUUCGGGUAGAACCAGGGUGGCUUCCUGGCGUCGUCGAGAGUAGCUCUGCCACUGAGUCGCUGGAUCUACUUGCAAGUAGUGGAGCGCCCUAACUCAUUCAGAUCCGUAAGCAUCCUUUGUUUCCUUCUUUUUGGUUGUUUGAAUCGUUUGAUUCCACUUUGUUUUCAGUGCAAAGAAUAACUACCGCCAGUUAGAUCGACCUGUGAUGAUAAUAUAUGUGAUUAAUUUAUGUUUGUCAUCCUCGUGUUCUUGUACGAUUAACAUCUACCACUACAUCAUCUAUUUUUGGAAUGAAAUUUAACUAAUGUAUAUAUAUACUUUUGUG
This 1336-nucleotide long non-coding RNA is filed under the name Triticum aestivum (bread wheat). RNAcentral describes it as "long non-coding RNA (TAES_LNC010067)". Lineage: Eukaryota; Viridiplantae; Streptophyta; Magnoliopsida; Poales; Poaceae. The record is from RNAcentral.